RNAcentral lists this ribosomal RNA (669 nucleotides) under Triticum aestivum (bread wheat). RNAcentral describes it as "partial small subunit ribosomal RNA". Lineage: Eukaryota; Viridiplantae; Streptophyta; Magnoliopsida; Poales; Poaceae. The record is from RNAcentral.
AUGGCUGCUCAUCCUCGACCUCGGCCCGCAUCUGCAUCGGCCGCGACGGCGGCGGCCACUCCUGCCGUGCCGAGCGCCGGCUCGCCGCCGCCCACUGCUCCAGCCCCCGCGGCUGCCCUCGCCUCCCGCCGCACCGACCCUCGACCUCGGCCCGCAUCUGCGUCAGUCGCGACAGCGGCGACCACUCCUGCGGGGCCGAGCGCCGGCUCCCCGCCGCCCACCGCUCCAGCUCCCACGUCUGCUCUCGCCGCGGCCGCCCUCGCCUCCCGCCGCUCCGGCCCAGCCGUCCAAGGGCGAAGGGUGGCACAUUCGCUCCUCGAGAAGGAGGCGAUGACAUCGGUUUCGACAAAGACCUCCGCUCCUGCUACAGCCUCCGUCCUUCCACCGUCGUCUCCGGGAGCACUCGUCUCCGACUCGUCCCCGACAGCGCCCGUCUCUGACGCGUCCCCGACAGUGGCCCGUCUCCAUCUGGAGCUCGACUCACCUCUGCUCCAGUGCGCACCAUGUCCUUCAGAUAUGGCAACCGUGGCCUUAGACAUGGGGCGGCCUGUGUCUUGGGCUACCCUCGCUGACGAGGAUGUUGAGGAUGAGGAAGAGGAGUUGGCCCCGUUGACACCACGGCGGCCACAAGCUCUGUCUCAGCAGCUCCGCCGACUGAACCCUGUGUGA